UACGUAGGGUGCGAGCGUUAAUCGGAAUUACUGGGCGUAAAGGGUGCGCAGGCGGCGUCGCAAGUCAGGCGUGAAAUCCCCGGGCUUAACCUGGGAACUGCACUUGAAACUACGAUGCUGGAGUAUGGCAGAGGGAAGUGGAAUUCCACGUGUAGCGGUGAAAUGCGUAGAGAUGUGGAGGAACACCGAUGGCGAAGGCAGCCUCCUGGGCCAAUACUGACGCUCAUGCACGAAAGCGUGGGGAGCAAACAGG
RNAcentral lists this ribosomal RNA (253 nucleotides) under uncultured bacterium. RNAcentral's name for it is "partial 16S ribosomal RNA". It matches the Rfam family "Bacterial small subunit ribosomal RNA", at positions 524 to 776 of the family's 1533-position model. The record is from RNAcentral.